This is a non-coding RNA of Pelobates cultripes (western spadefoot toad), 189 nucleotides long. The record is from the annotation of a GenBank genome assembly. NCBI's taxonomy places the organism in Eukaryota, Metazoa, Chordata, Amphibia, Anura, Pelobatidae.
UGCAAUUUGCAUCUCUCUCGUUCAUUGCACCGACACAUAUUAUAUACUGUUUUUUUUUUUUAAAGGACACAAAGGGCUUUAAUUUGAUGUAACAUAUAUAUCAUCAAAUUAAAGCCCUUUCUGUCCUUUAAAAAAAGAAACAGUAUAUAAUAUGUGUCGAUGCAAUGAACGAGAGAGAUGCAAAUUGCA